RNAcentral lists this ribosomal RNA (301 nucleotides) under uncultured bacterium. RNAcentral's name for it is "partial 16S ribosomal RNA". It matches the Rfam family "Archaeal small subunit ribosomal RNA", at positions 459 to 760 of the family's 1478-position model. The record is from RNAcentral.
CAGUCGCCACGGGAAUACCAGCACCUCGAGUGGUCAGGAGGUUUAUUGGGCCUAAAGCAUCCGUAGCCGGUUGCAUAAGUUUUCGGUUAAAUCUAUGCGCUUAACGUAUAGGCCGCCGAAAAUACUGUGCAGCUAGGGAGUGGGAGAGGUACACGGUACUCGAUAGGAAGGGGUAAAAUCCUUUGAUCUAUUGAUGACCACCUGUGGCGAAGGCGGUGUACCAGAACACGUUCGACGGUGAGGGAUGAAAGCUGGGGGAGCAAACCGGAUUAGAUACCCCAGUAGUCCCUGUCUCUUAUAC